This 659-nucleotide unclassified non-coding RNA is filed under the name Hevea brasiliensis (rubber tree). The record is from RNAcentral. Lineage: Eukaryota; Viridiplantae; Streptophyta; Magnoliopsida; Malpighiales; Euphorbiaceae.
UCUGAAUUAAAAUGUGGAACUUGUCAAGCUAGGAUUCUGUCCUGUGCAACAUUGAUCAGGAUGUGUAACACCAAACUUUGUACAAACUAUUAGAUAAGAGCAACAUAUAUGUAUAUAGUCAUCAGCAACCUUGUGCAUUCUAGGAUAUUGUACUACAAGUAUACAACCUGAGAACUGAUGAGUGAAAAACUAUAUGCUUCUAACCUCUGAGAUUACGAGGAUGAUAGGAAAGCCGUUGUCAACAACUUUGUGGUCUGAAAUAUUUCGGAGGCAUAGAUGGGCAUCUUUCAUUCAUAUGGGGGUACGGAUCUAUACUAUUGUAUUCAGGUAGUUCCAUCCGGUACUCUCCUCGAAUUUGACAGAAAGGAAGGCUCACAUUAUCAUCUGCAUUGCACCACUUUGGCAACCGGCUUGAAUUGUUCUCGAAAAACUUGAGAGAGUAAGCAUCUUUAAUCGUGAAUUCUGUAACCUGAAUUGAGCUUGCAAAUUCACCAAAUAGCCCUGCUUCCUUGUACAUCUCAAGAAUAAAAGCAACACAUGAUGUCGACUUUCCAUCACUAUAAACCCAAUCAUCCUUCUCUGGAAUAGCCAACAAUUUGGCAAAAGAGAAUCCACGCUUUUCAACUUCCACAAGAAUAUCAGGAAGACUAAGGUUCUUA